GAUGAACGCUGACAGAAUGCUUAACACAUGCAAGUCAACUUGAAUUGGGUUUUAACUUAGAUUUGGGUGGCGGACGGGUGAGUAACGCGUAAAGAACUUGCCUCACAGCUAGGGACAACAUUUAGAAAUGAAUGCUAAUACCUGAUAUUAUGAUUUUAGGGCAUCCUAGGAUUAUGAAAGCUAUAUGCACUGUGAGAGAGCUUUGCGUCCCAUUAGCUAGUUGGAGAGGUAACGGCUCACCAAGGCGAUGAUGGGUAGCCGGCCUGAGAGGGUGAUCGGCCACAAGGGGACUGAGACACGGCCCUUACUCCUACGGGAGGCAGCAGUGGGGAAUAUUGGACAAUGGACCAAGAGUCUGAUCCAGCAAUUCUGUGUGCACGAUGAAGUUUUUCGGAAUGUAAAGUGCUUUCAGUUGGGAAGAAAAAAAUGACGGUACCAACAGAAGAAGUGACGGCUAAAUACGUGCCAGCAGCCGCGGUAAUACGUAUGUCACAAGCGUUAUCCGGAUUUAUUGGGCGUAAAGCGCGUCUAGGUGGUUAUGUAAGUCUGAUGUGAAAAUGCAGGGCUCAACUCUGUAUUGCGUUGGAAACUGUGUAACUAGAGUACUGGAGAGGUAAGCGGAACUACAAGUGUAGAGGUGAAAUUCGUAGAUAUUUGUAGGAAUGCCGAUGGGGAAGCCAGCUUACUGGACAGAUACUGACGCUGAAGCGCGAAAGCGUGGGUAGCAAACAGG
This 733-nucleotide ribosomal RNA is filed under the name uncultured Fusobacterium sp. Its description in RNAcentral is "bacterial SSU rRNA". It matches the Rfam family "Bacterial small subunit ribosomal RNA", at positions 28 to 776 of the family's 1533-position model. Lineage: Bacteria; Fusobacteriati; Fusobacteriota; Fusobacteriia; Fusobacteriales; Fusobacteriaceae. The record is from RNAcentral.